UCGAACGCGUCUCCGUUAAUGAUUUUAGGUGCUUGCACUUGAAAGAUUUAACAUUGAGACGAGUGGCGAACUGGUGAGUAACACGUGGGUAACCUGCCCUUGAAGUAGGGGAUAACACUUGGAAACAGGUGCUAAUACCGUAUAACAACCAAAACCACCUGGUUUUGGUUUAAAAGACGGCUUCGGCUGUCACUUUAGGACGGACCCGCGGCGUAUUAGCUUGUUGGUAAGGUAACGGCCUACCAAGGCGAUGAUACGUAGCCGACCUGAGAGGGUAAUCGGCCACAUCGGGACUGAGACACGGCCCAAACUCCUACGGGAGGCAGCAGUAGGGAAUCUUCCACAAUGGACGAAAGUCUGAUGGAGCAACGCCGCGUGAGUGAUGAAGGGUUUCGGCUCGUAAAACUCUGUUGUUGGAGAAGAACAGGUGUCAGAGUAACUGUUGACAUCUUGACGGUAUCCAACCAGAAAGCCACGGCUAACUACGUGCCAGCAGCCGCGGUAAUACGUAGGUGGCAAGCGUUGUCCGGAUUUAUUGGGCGUAAAGCGAGCGCAGGCGGUUUUUUAGGUCUGAUGUGAAAGCCUUCGGCUUAACCGGAGAAGUGCACCGGAAACCGGGAGACUUGAGUGCAGAAGAGGACAGUGGAACUCCAUGUGUAGCGGUGAAAUGCGUAGAUAUAUGGAAGAACACCAGUGGCGAAGGCGGCUGUCUGGUCUGUAACUGACGCUGAGGCUCGAAAGCAUGGGUAGCGAACAGGAUUAGAUACCCUGGUAGUCCAUGCCGUAAACGAUGAGUGCUAAGUGUUGGAGGGUUUC
RNAcentral lists this ribosomal RNA (816 nucleotides) under uncultured bacterium. RNAcentral's name for it is "bacterial SSU rRNA". It matches the Rfam family "Bacterial small subunit ribosomal RNA", at positions 62 to 834 of the family's 1533-position model. The record is from RNAcentral.